GAGUGGUGUUUGGUUUGAUACGGGUGGUUGGCUCCCUGCUUGAGCAGGCACGGCCACACGUACAUUCCUUUUCAGUUGUGCGGCAAGGCUUGUAUCGUCUUGAUCGUAUAUGUGGGUUUCCUGUGUUGCAUACCUCAUCAACGGCAUCGUUUUGAUAAAAAACAUACCUUUUUCGUCAGGCGUUGCACCCGCAAUGUCGGAUGAACCAUGCAGCAUCCUCUUUGAUCCAUAUAGUCGAUGAGCGUUCAUUGAUUGUUUGGCCCGUUGAGGGUGCCUUGGUCUCUCGGAUAUGGAAGCGAUAGUGGGCAUGGGUUCGUAUGACCCUUUUAUUGCCCUCGUUGAGCGUUCUCGCUUCUCUUACACGACUGCCUUCACGUGUGGCACGUCCCAUCGUGUUUGGCUACGUCGAAGAGGAAUGCUACCUGGUUGAUCCUGCCAGUAGUCAUAU
Molecule: unclassified non-coding RNA, 448 nt
Filed under: Laestadia costaricensis
Lineage: Eukaryota; Viridiplantae; Streptophyta; Magnoliopsida; Asterales; Asteraceae
Description: partial external transcribed spacer
Source: RNAcentral